This 579-nucleotide ribosomal RNA is filed under the name uncultured Stenotrophomonas sp. RNAcentral's name for it is "bacterial SSU rRNA". It matches the Rfam family "Bacterial small subunit ribosomal RNA", at positions 102 to 677 of the family's 1533-position model. The record is from RNAcentral. Lineage: Bacteria; Pseudomonadati; Pseudomonadota; Gammaproteobacteria; Lysobacterales; Lysobacteraceae.
ACGGGUGAGGAAUACAUCGGAAUCUACUCUGUCGUGGGGGAUAAUGUAGGGAAACUUACGCUAAUACCGCAUACGACCUACGGGUGAAAGCAGGGGAUCUUCGGACCUUGCGCGAUUGAAUGAGCCGAUGUCGGAUUAGCUAGUUGGCGGGGUAAAGGCCCACCAAGGCGACGAUCCGUAGCUGGUCUGAGAGGAUGAUCAGCCACACUGGAACUGAGACACGGUCCAGACUCCUACGGGAGGCAGCAGUGGGGAAUAUUGGACAAUGGGCGCAAGCCUGAUCCAGCCAUACCGCGUGGGUGAAGAAGGCCUUCGGGUUGUAAAGCCCUUUUGUUGGGAAAGAAAUCCAGCUGGCUAAUACCCGGUUGGGAUGACGGUACCCAAAGAAUAAGCACCGGCUAACUUCGUGCCAGCAGCCGCGGUAAUACGAAGGGUGCAAGCGUUACUCGGAAUUACUGGGCGUAAAGCGUGCGUAGGUGGUCGUUUAAGUCCGUUGUGAAAGCCCUGGGCUCAACCUGGGAACUGCAGUGGAUACUGGGCGACUAGAGUGUGGUAGAGGGUAGCGGAAUUCCUGGUGUA